AGAGUUUGAUCCUGGCUCAGGACGAACGCUGGCGGCGUGCUUAACACAUGCAGGUCGAACGAAAAGACGGAAAGAGCUUGCUCUUUCCGGAAUUGAGUGGCAAACGGGUGAGUAACACGUAAACAACCUGCCUUCAGGAUGGGGACAACAGACGGAAACGACUGCUAAUACCGAAUAGGUUCCAAGGGCCGCAUGGCCCAUGGAAGAAAAGGUGGCCUCUACCUGUAAGCUAUCGCCUGAAGAGGGGUUUGCGUCUGAUUAGCUGGUUGGAGGGGUAACGGCCCACCAAGGCGACGAUCAGUAGCCGGUCUGAGAGGAUGAACGGCCACACUGGAACUGAGACACGGUCCAGACUCCUACGGGAGGCAGCAGUGGGGAAUCUUCCGCAAUGGGCGAAAGCCUGACGGAGCAACGCCGCGUGAGUGAUGACGGCCUUCGGGUUGUAAAACUCUGUGAUCCGGGACGAAAAGGCAGAGUGCGAAGAACAAACUGCAUUGACGGUACCGGAAAAGCAAGCCACGGCUAACUACGUGCCAGCAGCCGCGGUAAUACGUAGGUGGCAAGCGUUGUCCGGAAUUAUUGGGCGUAAAGCGCGCGCAGGCGGCUUCCCAAGUCCCUCUUAAAAGUGCGGGGCUUAACCCCGUGAUGGGAAGGAAACUGGGAAGCUGGAGUAUCGGAGAGGAAAGUGGAAUUCCUAGUGUAGCGGUGAAAUGCGUAGAGAUUAGGAAGAACACCGGUGGCGAAGGCGACUUUCUGGACGAAAACUGACGCUGAGGCGCGAAAGCGUGGGGAGCAACAGGAUUAGAUACCCUGGUAGUCCACGCCGUAAACGAUGGAUACUAGGUGUAGGAGGUAUCGACCCCUCUGUGCGGAGUUAACGCAAUAGCAU
RNAcentral lists this ribosomal RNA (889 nucleotides) under uncultured bacterium. Its description in RNAcentral is "bacterial SSU rRNA". It matches the Rfam family "Bacterial small subunit ribosomal RNA", at positions 8 to 867 of the family's 1533-position model. The record is from RNAcentral.